Tribolium castaneum (red flour beetle) is the source of this 106-nucleotide non-coding RNA. RefSeq annotates it as microRNA mir-11. The record is from RefSeq and is marked provisional. The transcript has a single exon. NCBI's taxonomy places the organism in Eukaryota, Metazoa, Arthropoda, Insecta, Coleoptera, Tenebrionidae.
CAAACGCUUACAUUGUAAAUGCAUUCUGGGAUUCUGACUGUGACCUGUGUGUGUCUGAUUCACAUCACAGGCAGAGUUCUAGCUAUGCGUUUACAGCUUGCUUCUC